This 467-nucleotide ribosomal RNA is filed under the name uncultured bacterium. RNAcentral's name for it is "partial 16S ribosomal RNA". It matches the Rfam family "Bacterial small subunit ribosomal RNA", at positions 28 to 507 of the family's 1533-position model. The record is from RNAcentral.
GACGAACGCUGGCGGCGUGCUUAACACAUGCAAGUCGAACGGAAAGGCCCUGCUUUUGUGGGGUGCUCGAGUGGCGAACGGGUGAGUAACACGUGAGUAACCUGCCCUUGACUUUGGGAUAACUUCAGGAAACUGGGGCUAAUACCGGAUAGGAGCUCCUGCUGCAUGGUGGGGGUUGGAAAGUUUCGGCGGUUGGGGAUGGACUCGCGGCUUAUCAGCUUGUUGGUGGGGUAGUGGCUUACCAAGGCUUUGACGGGUAGACAGCCUGAGAGGGUGACCGGCCACACAGACUGUGAGAGAGGCACCGGCCAGACUCGUGCGGGAGGAGGGAGAAGAGUGUACAAGACGAGGAGCGCAGACGCAGCAACGCAGCGCGGGGUAAGACGGGAUGCGGGUAGUAAAGUAAUGUCGCCUGUCACGAGGCGUGAGUGACGGUACCGGGUAAAGAAGCUCCGGCUAACUACGUG